AACGCGAAGAACCUUACCAGGUCUUGACAUCCUCUGACACUCCUAGAGAUAGGACGUUCCCCUUCGGGGGACAGAGUGACAGGUGGUGCAUGGUUGUCGUCAGCUCGUGUCGUGAGAUGUUGGGUUAAGUCCCGCAACGAGCGCAACCCUUGAUCUUAGUUGCCAGCAUUCAGUUGGGCACUCUAAGGUGACUGCCGGUGACAAACCGGAGGAAGGUGGGGAUGACGUCAAAUCAUCAUGCCCCUUAUGACCUGGGCUACACACGUGCUACAAUGGAUGGUACAAAGGGCAGCAAAGCCGCGAGGCCUAGCCAAUCCCAUAAAACCAUUCUCAGUUCGGAUUGUAGGCUGCAACUCGCCUACAUGAAGCCGGAAUCGCUAGUAAUCGCGGAUCAGCAUGCCGCGGUGAAUACGUUCCCGGGCCUUGUA
This 428-nucleotide ribosomal RNA is filed under the name uncultured Bacillota bacterium. RNAcentral describes it as "bacterial SSU rRNA". It matches the Rfam family "Bacterial small subunit ribosomal RNA", at positions 958 to 1385 of the family's 1533-position model. Lineage: Bacteria; Bacillati; Bacillota. The record is from RNAcentral.